Molecule: long non-coding RNA, 468 nt
Organism: Ornithorhynchus anatinus (platypus)
Lineage: Eukaryota; Metazoa; Chordata; Mammalia; Monotremata; Ornithorhynchidae
Exons: 3
Source: RefSeq, a predicted model, not a curated record
ACAGCCAAAAUAAAGCUCAGAAACGGUGGCAUUUGUUACGCACAAAAGAAUCAGAACGAGAAUAAUAAGAAAGAGGCCACAGAAACACGUACCAAAAUCACGGGUCACGACUAAGGAAUGCAGACAGCCUGGAACUGGGACCCCGCUACAGAUGAAAAAAGAUAGGAGCUUUGCCCCUCAAGUUGCAACAGAGUUCCCUGCCCACAACGAGCUUAGAGUCUGCAGGAAAACUCUCCGGCCGGGCUCCAGGAUGGGUCAGUUUAACCGGGACGGAAGGUGGGUCCACCCCAUUUCCACCCACCUGGUGACAACGGCCCAGAUGCCCAGGUGAAGGUGAGUUUGUCUCCCCUAUCCCUGUCCCCCUCCCCCGCUGUUUUUUUAGGGAAUUUUUUAGGCAUUUACCAUGUCCCAAGCACUGUAUUAAGCACUGAGGUAGAUACAAACUCUAGCUCUAUUUACCAGCUUCCC